GAUGAACGCUGGCGGCGUGCCUAAUACAUGCAAGUCGAGUGAACAGACGAGGAGCUUGCUCCUCUGACGUUAGCGGCGGACGGGUGAGUAACACGUGGAUAACCUACCUAUAAGACUGGGAUAACUUCGGGAAACCGGAGCUAAUACCGGAUAAUAUAUUGAACCGCAUGGUUCAAUAGUGAAAGACGGUUUUGCUGUCACUUAUAGAUGGAUCCGCGCCGCAUUAGCUAGUUGGUAAGGUAACGGCUUACCAAGGCAACGAUGCGUAGCCGACCUGAGAGGGUGAUCGGCCACACUGGAACUGAGACACGGUCCAGAUUCCUACGGGAGGCAGCAGUAGGGAAUCUUCCGCAAUGGGCGAAAGCUUGACGGAGCAACGCCGCGUGAGUGAUGAAGGUCUUCGGAUCGUAAAACUCUGUUAUUAGGGAAGAACAAAUGUGUAAGUAACUAUGCACGUCUUGACGGUACCUAAUCAGAAAGCCACGGCUAACUACGUG
RNAcentral lists this ribosomal RNA (497 nucleotides) under uncultured bacterium. RNAcentral's name for it is "partial 16S ribosomal RNA". It matches the Rfam family "Bacterial small subunit ribosomal RNA", at positions 28 to 507 of the family's 1533-position model. The record is from RNAcentral.